AAAUGUGAUAAACUGCGAGCCAUCAUAAGUGAAAAUAUAUAUCUUAGCUUCUUGCAAUCUCUCAGUGUUAGAGUUGUAAGGUUCUCAAGGGUUACAACUUGAGCAAAAUCGUUCCAUAUAAUCUGCACUUCAAAUAAAUUCCUCAAUUCCAAUAUUUUUAUGCUUGAGAACGAGUACCCGCCUUGAACUUGAAAUACUUCUUCAUGAUUCCCAACUACUAUACAACCUUCAUUCAAUACAGGAACAUCAGUGUUGCAUAAUUGGCGGCUAUUUCCCAC
This 278-nucleotide long non-coding RNA is filed under the name Gossypium barbadense (sea-island cotton). Its description in RNAcentral is "long non-coding RNA (GBAR_LNC023090)". The record is from RNAcentral. Lineage: Eukaryota; Viridiplantae; Streptophyta; Magnoliopsida; Malvales; Malvaceae.